UCAGAUCAUGUCGAGCAUCGACAUGCUGCUUCGAAUGCAGCAGACCAGCAUCGCGGACGUGUUCGAGGCACAGCGUCUAAUC
This 82-nucleotide transfer RNA is filed under the name Paraburkholderia aspalathi. RNAcentral describes it as "tRNA-Ser". The record is from RNAcentral. Lineage: Bacteria; Pseudomonadati; Pseudomonadota; Betaproteobacteria; Burkholderiales; Burkholderiaceae.